UGUUGUUCUUUUGCCGCUUGU
Non-coding RNA from Caenorhabditis elegans, 21 nucleotides. NCBI's taxonomy places the organism in Eukaryota, Metazoa, Nematoda, Chromadorea, Rhabditida, Rhabditidae. The record is from Ensembl.